This 400-nucleotide unclassified non-coding RNA is filed under the name uncultured fungus. RNAcentral describes it as "sequence contains ITS1". The stretch from base 1 to 105 matches the Rfam family "5.8S ribosomal RNA", at positions 50 to 154 of the family's 154-position model. The record is from RNAcentral. Lineage: Eukaryota; Fungi.
GAAAUGCGAUAAGUAGUGUGAAUUGCAGAAUUCAGUGAAUCAUCGAAUCUUUGAACGCACAUUGCGCUUUCUGGUAUUCCGGGGAGCAUGCCCGUUUCAGAAUCAUUGAAGAAAAGUCAAUGGAGAUUUGGAGGUUACUGUUCACCUUGACGGUGGGCAGUGCCCCCACAAGCUCGUUGGAAGUGGACGUUUGCCGGUGCAAUCGUCUGAAAUACAGCGUAUUCAUGCCGAUUUUGCACCUGGGGUGGGAUGAAGUGCAACAGAUUUUUUUUUCUAUUUCGCUUUCUGCCACCGCACGGGACGGGAUUGGUUCGAGUUGGAAGGGUGACAAGGUCGUUCUGGUGCUUUGGGCCAGCCCUUCAACGGUUCAACAAACUUGAUCUGAAAUCGGGCAAGAAAA